Molecule: ribosomal RNA, 459 nt
Filed under: uncultured bacterium
Lineage: Bacteria
Description: partial 16S ribosomal RNA
Rfam family: Bacterial small subunit ribosomal RNA
Source: RNAcentral
CCUACGGGAGGCAGCAGUGAGGAAUAUUGGUCAAUGGCCGGAAGGCUGAACCAGCCAAGCCGCGUGAAGGACGAAGGUGCCAAGCAUUGUAAACUUCUUUUGUCAAGGGAAAAAAUCAGGCUCGAGAGCAUGACCGAGGGUCCUUGAAGAAAAAGCAUCGGCUAACUCCGUGCCAGCAGCCGCGGUAAUACGGAGGGUGCGAGCGUUAUCCGGAUUUAUUGGGUUGAGAGGGUGCGUAGGGGGACGGUUGAGGCAGCGGUAAAAGCCGGGGGCUCAACCCCGGCGAGCCUUUGAAACUGGCUGUCUUGAGAUGUCGAGAGGUAUGCGGAAUGCGCAGUGUAGCGGUGAAAUGCUUAGAUAUUGCGCAGAACUCCGAUUGCGAAGGCAGCAUACCGGCGGCGAUCUGACGCUGAGGCACGAAAGCGUGGGUAUCGAACAGGAUUAGAUACCCUGGUAGUC